This 1167-nucleotide ribosomal RNA is filed under the name Guptibacillus hwajinpoensis. Its description in RNAcentral is "bacterial SSU rRNA". It matches the Rfam family "Bacterial small subunit ribosomal RNA", at positions 56 to 1203 of the family's 1533-position model. The record is from RNAcentral. Lineage: Bacteria; Bacillati; Bacillota; Bacilli; Caryophanales; Guptibacillaceae.
UGCAGUCGAGCGAAGAGAUGGGAGCUUGCUCCCUGAUCUUAGCGGCGGACGGGUGAGUAACACGUGGGCAACCUGCCCUGCAGACUGGGAUAACUCCGGGAAACCGGAGCUAAUACCGGGUAAUACAUCGCACCGCAUGGUGCAAUGUUGAAAGUUGGCUUUCUGAGCUAACACUGCAGGAUGGGCCCGCGGCGCAUUAGCUAGUUGGUAAGGUAAUGGCUUACCAAGGCGACGAUGCGUAGCCGACCUGAGAGGGUGAUCGGCCACACUGGGACUGAGACACGGCCCAGACUCCUACGGGAGGCAGCAGUAGGGAAUCUUCCGCAAUGGACGAAAGUCUGACGGAGCAACGCCGCGUGAGUGACGAAGGCCUUCGGGUCGUAAAGCUCUGUUGUUAGGGAAGAACAAGUACCGUUCGAAUAGGGCGGUACCUUGACGGUACCUAACCAGAAAGCCACGGCUAACUACGUGCCAGCAGCCGCGGUAAUACGUAGGUGGCAAGCGUUGUCCGGAAUUAUUGGGCGUAAAGCGCGCGCAGGCGGUCUUUUAAGUCUGAUGUGAAAGCCCACGGCUCAACCGUGGAGGGUCAUUGGAAACUGGAGGACUUGAGUGCAGAAGAGGAGAGUGGAAUUCCACGUGUAGCGGUGAAAUGCGUAGAUAUGUGGAGGAACACCAGUGGCGAAGGCGGCUCUCUGGUCUGUAACUGACGCUGAGGCGCGAAAGCGUGGGGAGCAAACAGGAUUAGAUACCCUGGUAGUCCACGCCGUAAACGAUGAGUGCUAGGUGUUGGGGGGUUCCACCCUCAGUGCUGAAGUUAACACAUUAAGCACUCCGCCUGGGGAGUACGACCGCAAGGUUGAAACUCAAAGGAAUUGACGGGGGCCCGCACAAGCAGUGGAGCAUGUGGUUUAAUUCGAAGCAACGCGAAGAACCUUACCAGGUCUUGACAUCCUCUGACAAUCCUGGAGACAGGACGUUCCCCUUCGGGGGACAGAGUGACAGGUGGUGCAUGGUUGUCGUCAGCUCGUGUCGUGAGAUGUUGGGUUAAGUCCCGCAACGAGCGCAACCCUUGAUCUUAGUUGCCAGCAUUUAGUUGGGCACUCUAAGGUGACUGCCGGUGACAAACCGGAAGGAAGGUGGGNAUGACGUCAAAUCAUCAUGCCCCUU